CCUACGGGUGACAGCAGUGAGGAAUAUUGGUCAAUGGACGAGAGUCUGAACCAGCCAAGUAGCGUGAAGGAUGACUGCCCUAUGGGUUGUAAACUUCUUUUAUAUGGGAAUAAAACGUUCCACGUGUGGGAUUUUGUAUGUACCAUAUGAAUAAGUAUCGGCUAACUCCGUGCCAGCAGCCGCGGUAAUACGGAGGAUCCGAGCGUUAUCCGGAUUUAUUGGGUUUAAAGGUAGCGUAGGUGGAUUGUUAAGUCAGUUGUGAAAGUUUGCGGCUCAACCGUAAAAUUGCAGUUGAAACUGGCAGUCUUGAGUACAGUAGAGGUGGGCGGAAUUCGUGGUGUAGCGGUGAAAUGCUUAGAUAUCACGAAGAACUCCGAUUGCGAAGGCAGUUCACUGGACUGCAACUGACACUGAGGCUCGAAAGUGUGGGUAUCAAACAGGAUUAGAUACCCUUGUAGUC
This 460-nucleotide ribosomal RNA is filed under the name uncultured bacterium. RNAcentral describes it as "partial 16S ribosomal RNA". It matches the Rfam family "Bacterial small subunit ribosomal RNA", at positions 338 to 795 of the family's 1533-position model. The record is from RNAcentral.